UACGUAGGGGGCAAGCGUUGUCCGGAUUUAUUGGGCGUAAAGAGCGUGUAGGCGGCCAAGUAAGUCUGCUGUGAAAACUCGAGGCUUAACCUCGAGCUGUCGGCGGAAACUAUUUGGCUAGAGUCCGGAAGAGGAGAAUGGAAUUCCCGGUGUAGCGGUGAAAUGCGCAGAUAUCGGGAAGAACACCCGUGGCGAAGGCGGUUCUCUGGGGCGGUACUGACGCUGAGACGCGAAAGCGUGGGGAGCGAACAGG
Molecule: ribosomal RNA, 253 nt
Filed under: uncultured bacterium
Lineage: Bacteria
Description: partial 16S ribosomal RNA
Rfam family: Bacterial small subunit ribosomal RNA
Source: RNAcentral